AUCCAACUGACGAGUCCCAAACAAGACGAAACGCGCGUCCUGGAU
Molecule: non-coding RNA, 45 nt
Filed under: Schistosoma curassoni
Lineage: Eukaryota; Metazoa; Platyhelminthes; Trematoda; Strigeidida; Schistosomatidae
Source: RNAcentral